GUCUUUUUGAAAAUAAUUUAAAGUCAAAUCUGCCCACUGAUAAAAUAUUAAAGGGCUGCAGUAUAUUGACUGUACAAAGGUAGCAUAAUAAUUAGUCUUUUAAUUGAAGACUUGUAUGAAGGAUUUAAUGAAAUAUAGACUGUCUCUUUUUUAUAAUUAGAAUUUAAUUUUUUAGUAAAAAAGCUAAAAUUAAUUUAAAAGACGAGAAGACCCUAUAGAGUUUUAUAAUUAAAUUUAAUUAUAUAUUUAUGUUUAAUUUUGAAAUUAAUUAAUUUAAUUAUUUUAUUGGGGUGAUAGAAAAAUUAAAAUAACUUUUUUUUUAAAUUUAAACAUUAAUUAAUGGUUAUAUGAUCCAUAAAUUAUGAUUAUAAGAAAAAAUUACCUUAGGGAUAACAGCGUAAUUUUUUUUUUAGUUCUUAUAAGAAAAAAAGUUUGCGACCUCGAUGUUGGAUUAAGAUAAAAUUUAAAUGCAGAAGUUUAAAAUUUUUGAUCUGUUCGAUCAUUAAAAUCUUACA
RNAcentral lists this ribosomal RNA (515 nucleotides) under Caltoris cormasa. RNAcentral describes it as "partial 16S ribosomal RNA". The stretch from base 389 to 515 matches the Rfam family "Bacterial large subunit ribosomal RNA", at positions 2473 to 2600 of the family's 2925-position model. The record is from RNAcentral. Lineage: Eukaryota; Metazoa; Arthropoda; Insecta; Lepidoptera; Hesperiidae.